Molecule: long non-coding RNA, 300 nt
Organism: Papaver somniferum (opium poppy)
Lineage: Eukaryota; Viridiplantae; Streptophyta; Magnoliopsida; Ranunculales; Papaveraceae
Exons: 3
Source: RefSeq, a predicted model, not a curated record
UUCAAGAUUAUGUCCACAUAGCCAAUCCUUAAGUUAAGGAUUUAGUUGCAACAAAGCUAAUCAUUUCUUAUUUCAGGUUCAAAGUGAUCAUUUUGAUGAGUUUUUCGCCCCUGAGUUGGACAAACAUGGUUAUCAAGCUCUCUACAAGAAGAAGACAACAGAGGUUUACACCGGGACUUAUGCUAUCGAUGGUUGUGCAACAUUUUCCCGAAGGGACAGAUUUUCCCAUGUGAAGAAAUACGAGGUCGAAUUCAACAAGGCUGCUCAGUCACUGACAGAUGUUGUGGUCCCAAUCACUCA